This 300-nucleotide ribosomal RNA is filed under the name uncultured Thermotoga sp. RNAcentral's name for it is "partial 16S ribosomal RNA". It matches the Rfam family "Bacterial small subunit ribosomal RNA", at positions 496 to 795 of the family's 1533-position model. Lineage: Bacteria; Thermotogati; Thermotogota; Thermotogae; Thermotogales; Thermotogaceae. The record is from RNAcentral.
GCUAACUAGGGUCAAUAAGCAUGAGGAGUAAGUGGGGGGGCAGGGGUGGUCGGACUUAUGUGGUUGAAAGAAGGGGGAGGCGGCCUGGCAGGUCCGCUGUGAAUACUGGAGUCGCAACCUCGAGAGGGCGGUUGAGACCACCGGGCUAGAGUACGGAAGAGGGGGGUGGAAUUCCCGGUGGAGCCGUGAAAUGCGCAGAGAGAGGGAAGAACGCCCGUGGCGGUGGCUGCACUCUGGGUCGGUACUGACGCUGAGACGCGAAGGCGGGGGGAGCGAACAGGAUUAGGUGCCCGGGUAGUC